This 1498-nucleotide ribosomal RNA is filed under the name Salmonella enterica. Its description in RNAcentral is "partial 23S ribosomal RNA". It matches the Rfam family "Bacterial large subunit ribosomal RNA", at positions 663 to 2141 of the family's 2925-position model. Lineage: Bacteria; Pseudomonadati; Pseudomonadota; Gammaproteobacteria; Enterobacterales; Enterobacteriaceae. The record is from RNAcentral.
GAGCCGAAGGGAAACCGAGUCUUAACCGGGCGUUAAGUUGCAGGGUAUAGACCCGAAACCCGGUGAUCUAGCCAUGGGCAGGUUGAAGGUUGGGUAACACUAACUGGAGGACCGAACCGACUAAUGUUGAAAAAUUAGCGGAUGACCUGUGGCUGGGGGUGAAAGGCCAAUCAAACCGGGAGAUAGCUGGUUCUCCCCGAAAGCUAUUUAGGUAGCGCCUCGUGAAUUCAUCUCCGGGGGUAGAGCACUGUUUCGGCUAGGGGGCCAUCCCGGCUUACCAACCCGAUGCAAACUGCGAAUACCGGAGAAUGUUAUCACGGGAGACACACGGCGGGUGCUAACGUCCGUCGUGAAGAGGGAAACAACCCAGACCGCCAGCUAAGGUCCCAAAGUCAUGGUUAAGUGGGAAACGAUGUGGGAAGGCCCAGACAGCCAGGAUGUUGGCUUAGAAGCAGCCAUCAUUUAAAGAAAGCGUAAUAGCUCACUGGUCGAGUCGGCCUGCGCGGAAGAUGUAACGGGGCUAAACCAUGCACCGAAGCUGCGGCAGCGACGCUGAUGCGUUGUUGGGUAGGGGAGCGUUCUGUAAGCCUGCGAAGGUGGCCUGUGAGGGUUGCUGGAGGUAUCAGAAGUGCGAAUGCUGACAUAAGUAACGAUAAAGCGGGUGAAAAGCCCGCUCGCCGGAAGACCAAGGGUUCCUGUCCAACGUUAAUCGGGGCAGGGUGAGUCGACCCCUAAGGCGAGGCCGAAAGGCGUAGUCGAUGGGAAACGGGUUAAUAUUCCCGUACUUGGUGUUACUGCGAAGGGGGGACGGAGAAGGCUAUGUUGGCCGGGCGACGGUUGUCCCGGUUUAAGCGUGUAGGUGUGUGUUCCAGGUAAAUCCGGUUCACUUUAACACUGAGGCGUGACGACGAGGCACUACGGUGCUGAAGCAACAAAUGCCCUGCUUCCAGGAAAAGCCUCUAAGCAUCAGGUAACAUCAAAUCGUACCCCAAACCGACACAGGUGGUCAGGUAGAGAAUACCAAGGCGCUUGAGAGAACUCGGGUGAAGGAACUAGGCAAAAUGGUGCCGUAACUUCGGGAGAAGGCACGCUGACACGUAGGUGAAGUGAUUUACUCAUGGAGCUGAAGUCAGUCGAAGAUACCAGCUGGCUGCAACUGUUUAUUAAAAACACAGCACUGUGCAAACACGAAAGUGGACGUAUACGGUGUGACGCCUGCCCGGUGCCGGAAGGUUAAUUGAUGGGGUCAGCGCAAGCGAAGCUCCUGAUCGAAGCCCCGGUAAACGGCGGCCGUAACUAUAACGGUCCUAAGGUAGCGAAAUUCCUUGUCGGGUAAGUUCCGACCUGCACGAAUGGCGUAAUGAUGGCCAGGCUGUCUCCACCCGAGACUCAGUGAAAUUGAACUCGCUGUGAAGAUGCAGUGUACCCGCGGCAAGACGGAAAGACCCCGUGAACCUUUACUAUAGCUUGACACUGAACAUUGAGCCUUGAUGUGUAG